This 757-nucleotide long non-coding RNA is filed under the name Equus caballus (horse). RNAcentral's name for it is "lncRNA (ENSECAG00000056728.1)". Lineage: Eukaryota; Metazoa; Chordata; Mammalia; Perissodactyla; Equidae. The record is from RNAcentral.
CUUUGGCUUCAAUUACGCUUGUGAAAGAGUAACCACUUCUCUCUAAACUACAAAAAGAAGGUUUAUAUUUCAGUAAGCAUUGUUAAUGAAGUCUCUUCAGAAUGGGCAAAGCAGCUUCAUGAAGUCAUCAAAGACUCAGAUUUGUUGUUCACCAUUCUCAACACAUGGCUCUCACCUCAUGGUACAAGAUGACUGCUUGGGUUCCAGCCAUUACAGUUACACAAAGGAUGAAGAAACCGGCCACCAUGCUGAGAGAAACCCAGGCCACAUGGAAAGGCCACGUGUGGGCACUUUGGUCAACAGGCCCAGCUGAGCCAAGCCUUUGAGUCAUCGCAGCCCAGGCGCCAGACUUGUGAGUGAAGGAGGCUCCAGAUGAUUCUAACCCUCAGCUCCUGAGUCACCGCCAACUGCUGGAGUCUUCCCAGCUGAGGCCGCAGACAUCACGGAGCAGAGAAAACACGAGUCAUCCCAGCUAUGUCCUGUCCAAAUUCCUGGCCUACACAAUCGGAAUGGAAUGGAAUGGAAGCUUCUUCAUUUAAAUUCUGCACAGGAUGUGUAUUACGGAUUCAUGUUAGUAUAGGUGAGGACGUGAAGCCAUUGCUACUGAGCCUCAGAUGUGGCAGCAAAGAAUUAAGAGAUCAUCACCAUCUCUCUCUCAAUGUAAUGAAAAUCUAACUUCACAACACUCCUCUUAAUCGAGCUUUCCUCAUGCUACUUGGCUAUGCAUUAAAUCUUGGCAUACACAAAAAAUAAAAAC